Molecule: ribosomal RNA, 567 nt
Filed under: uncultured bacterium
Lineage: Bacteria
Description: bacterial SSU rRNA
Rfam family: Bacterial small subunit ribosomal RNA
Source: RNAcentral
CUCCUACGGGAGGCAGCAGCAGGGAAUAUUGCACAAUGGGCGCAAGCCUGAUGCAGCAACGCCGCGUGCGGGAUGAAGGCCUUCGGGUUGUAAACCGCUUUCAGUAGGGAAGAAAAUGACGGUACCUACAGAAGAAGCCCCGGCCAACUACGUGCCAGCAGCCGCGGUAACACGUGGGGGGCAAGCGUUGUCCGGAUUUAUUGGGCGUAAAGGGCUCGUAGGCGGCUUGACAAGUCGGGCGUGAAAACCCGGGGCUUAACCCCGGGACGCCGUUCGAAACUGUCAUGGCUAGUUUCCGGUAGAGGUGAGUGGAAUUCUCGGUGUAGCGGUGAAAUGCGCAGAUAUCGAGAGGAACACCAGUAGCGAAGGCGGCUCACUGGGCCGGUAAAGACGCUGAGGAGCGAAAGCGUGGGGAGCAAACAGGAUUAGAUACCCUGGUAGUCCACGCUGUAAACGUUGAACACUAGGUGUGGUGGACAGAUCCAUGUCUGCCGUGCCGAAGCUAACGCAUUAAGUGUUCCGCCUGGGGAGUACGGCCGCAGGGCUAAAACUCAAAGGAAUUGACGG